This 377-nucleotide unclassified non-coding RNA is filed under the name uncultured Lysobacterales bacterium. RNAcentral describes it as "uncultured Xanthomonadales bacterium contains 16S-23S intergenic spacer region". Lineage: Bacteria; Pseudomonadati; Pseudomonadota; Gammaproteobacteria; Lysobacterales. The record is from RNAcentral.
UCGCGGCUUAUCACCGGCAGUCCCCCUAGAGUGCCCAACCCAAUGAUGGCAACUAGGGGCGAGGGUUGCGCUCGUUGCGGGACUUAACCCAACAUCUCACGACACGAGCUGACGACAGCCAUGCACCACCUGUGAUGGUGUCCCGAAGGAAAGCCGUGUUUCCACGGCGGUCACCAACAUGUCAAGCCCAGGUAAGGUUCUUCGCGUUGCAUCGAAUUAAACCACAUACUCCACCGUUUGUGCGGGCCCCCGUCAAUUCCUUUGAGUUUCAGUCUUGCGACCGUACUCCCCAGGCGGCGAACUUAACGCGUUAGCUUCGACACUGAUCUCCGAGUUGAGACCAACAUCCAGUUCGCAUCGUUUAGGGCGUGGACUAC